AUCAGCUCCAGUUGACUGACUCUGUGUGUUUGCAUAUGUGUUCAUCCUCUCUGCUCUCAGACGUUAAGAGGACAGUGUUGAUCAGUGUCUGUCCACACCUUUCAGAGACACUGACACACCUGCAGCACAAUGAUGAUGUCACUGAUUCUACUGAUGCUCACCCUGGGGAUCCUGGUUCACGGUUCAUCAGGAGACAUCACCAUGACUCAGUCUCCUGGAUCUCUGUCUGCUGCUCCAGGACAGACUGUUUCUAUCAGAUGUAGAUCUAGUUCAAAUGUUGGCAAUGAGGUAGACUGGUACCUUCAGAAACCUGGAGAAGCUCCCAAACUCUUGAUUUAUUAUGCUACAAACCGUCAGUCUGGAGUUCCAGACCGUUUCAGUGGGAGUCAAUCUGGAAGUGACUACUCUCUGACCAUCAGUGGAGUUCAGACUGAAGAUGCAGGAGAUUAUUAUUGUCAGCAGGAUUACGGCUUCCUGUUCACGCAGUGGUACAACAUCAUACAAAAACCUCCCUCAGCUGAAGAGGAACUGAUCUGAAUCAACAGCUGCAGA
Molecule: non-coding RNA, 552 nt
Organism: Cheilinus undulatus (humphead wrasse)
Lineage: Eukaryota; Metazoa; Chordata; Actinopteri; Labriformes; Labridae
Source: the annotation of a RefSeq genome assembly